RNAcentral lists this ribosomal RNA (559 nucleotides) under Bacillus pumilus. RNAcentral describes it as "bacterial SSU rRNA". It matches the Rfam family "Bacterial small subunit ribosomal RNA", at positions 75 to 619 of the family's 1533-position model. The record is from RNAcentral. Lineage: Bacteria; Bacillati; Bacillota; Bacilli; Caryophanales; Bacillaceae.
GGAGCUUGCUCCCGGAUGUUAGCGGCGGACGGGUGAGUAACACGUGGGUAACCUGCCUGUAAGACUGGGAUAACUCCGGGAAACCGGAGCUAAUACCGGAUAGUUCCUUGAACCGCAUGGUUCAAGGAUGAAAGACGGUUUCGGCUGUCACUUACAGAUGGACCCGCGGCGCAUUAGCUAGUUGGUGAGGUAACGGCUCACCAAGGCGACGAUGCGUAGCCGACCUGAGAGGGUGAUCGGCCACACUGGGACUGAGACACGGCCCAGACUCCUACGGGAGGCAGCAGUAGGGAAUCUUCCGCAAUGGACGAAAGUCUGACGGAGCAACGCCGCGUGAGUGAUGAAGGUUUUCGGAUCGUAAAGCUCUGUUGUUAGGGAAGAACAAGUGCAAGAGUAACUGCUUGCACCUUGACGGUACCUAACCAGAAAGCCACGGCUAACUACGUGCCAGCAGCCGCGGUAAUACGUAGGUGGCAAGCGUUGUCCGGAAUUAUUGGGCGUAAAGGGCUCGCAGGCGGUUUCUUAAGUCUGAUGUGAAAGCCCCCGGCUCAACCGGGGA